AGAGUUUGAUCCUGGCUCAGGAUGAACGCUGGCGGUAUGCUUAACACAUGCAAGUCGAACGAACUCUUCGGAGUGAGUGGCGGACGGGUGAGUAACGCGUGAGAACCUGCCUACAGGACGGGGACAACAGUUGGAAACGACUGCUAAUACCCGAUAGGCCGAGAGGUGAAAGAUUUAUUGCCUGAAGAGGGGCUCGCGUCCGAUUAGUUAGUUGGUGGGGUAAAGGCCUACCAAGGCAAUGAUCGGUAGCUGGUCUGAGGGGAUGAGCAGCCACACUGGGACUGAGACACGGCCCAGACUCCUACGGGAGGCAGCAGUGGGGAAUUUUCCGCAAUGGGCGAAAGCCUGACGGAGCAAUACCGCGUGAGGGAGGAAGGCCUUUGGGUUGUAACCUCUUUUCUCAGGGAAGAAGAUCUGACGGUACCUGAGGAAUAAGCAUCGGCUAACUCCGUGCCAGCAGCCGCGGUAAUACGGGGGAUGCAAGCGUUAUCCGGAAUUAUUGGGCGUAAAGGGUCCGCAGGUGGUGUGGCAAGUCUGUUGUCAAAGACCGGGAGCUCAACUCCCGGGAAGGCAAUGGGAAACUGCCAAACUAAAGUACGGUAGGGGGUAA
RNAcentral lists this ribosomal RNA (610 nucleotides) under uncultured cyanobacterium. RNAcentral describes it as "SSU rRNA". It matches the Rfam family "Bacterial small subunit ribosomal RNA", at positions 8 to 661 of the family's 1533-position model. The record is from RNAcentral. Lineage: Bacteria; Bacillati; Cyanobacteriota.